AAAAAAAUAAACACUAGGUUUCUGUUUCCAACUUUGACUGUCCGUCUUAUAAGAAAUUUUUUUUAUAAUACGUAUUUUUAUUGUUGUUAGAUGAUAAAACAUGAUUAAUAUUUUAUGCGUAACUUGUCUUUUUAAUUUUUUUAUAAUUUUUUUAAAUAAGACGGACGGUGAAACGUUGGGUACGGAAAUCAGGGUUUGUCUUUUU
This is a non-coding RNA of Oryza glaberrima (African rice), 205 nucleotides long. NCBI's taxonomy places the organism in Eukaryota, Viridiplantae, Streptophyta, Magnoliopsida, Poales, Poaceae. The record is from Rfam.